RNAcentral lists this ribosomal RNA (82 nucleotides) under uncultured bacterium. RNAcentral's name for it is "partial 16S ribosomal RNA". The record is from RNAcentral.
CUGUGGGGCGGGACGAAUAAGUGCAGCCCAAUACGCUGCAUGAUGACGGUACCGCCUUAGCAAGCACCGGCUAACUCUGUGC